Molecule: long non-coding RNA, 524 nt
Filed under: Homo sapiens (human)
Lineage: Eukaryota; Metazoa; Chordata; Mammalia; Primates; Hominidae
Description: non-protein coding lnc-AATF-4:1
Source: RNAcentral
AUGAACGCCUUGGGCACACUACAAGAGUACAAGGUGGUGGGUUGCUGCCUGCCCACCCCCAAAUGCCACAUGCUGCCCUUCUAUGGUAUGCGAAUCUUGCACCUAAUCAUGUCAUUGUCAAGUCCCGUCUCUGGUACUUGGUAUCUCAGCUAAAGAAGAUAAGGAGUCUUCAGGGAAAAUUGUCUACUGUAGGUAGGUGUUUGAGAAAUCCCCCCUGCAGGUGAAGAAAUCUGGCAUCUAGCUGCACUACGACUCCCGUAGCAGCACCUACAACAUGUACUGGAUAUCAGGACUUGACCACCAUGGGUGCUGUCAUCCAGUGCUAGUGAGACAUGGGCACCUGGCAUCACACACAGGCCCACUCCACCCAGAUCAUGAAGGUGGAGACUGCGGCCAGCAAGUGCUGCCAGCUGGCGGUCAAACAGUUCCAUGACUCCGAGAUCAAGUUCCCACUGCCCCAUGGGGUCCUGCAUGGUUAGCAUAAGCCAUACUUCACCACCAAGAGUCCCAACACCUUCUUCUAG